CCUACGGGUGGCUGCAGUGGGGAAUUUUGGACAAUGGGCGCAAGCCUGAUCCAGCCAUUCCGCGUGAGUGAAGAAGGCCUUCGGGUUGUAAAGCUCUUUCGCAAGGGAAGAAAACUUAUCCUCUAACAUAGGAUGAGGUUGACGGUACCUUGAUAAGAAGCACCGGCUAACUACGUGCCAGCAGCCGCGGUAAUACGUAGGGUGCGAACGUUGCUCAGAAUUAGUGGGCGUAGAGUUGUAGCAGGGAUGUGAAAUCCCCGAGCUCAACUUGGGAACUGCGUUUGAAACUACAAGACUAGAAUAGGUCAGAGGGGGGUAGAAUUCCACGUGUAGCAGUGAAAUGCGUAGAGAUGUGGAGGAAUAUCAAUGGCGAAGGCAGCCCCCUGGGAUCAUAUUGACGCUCAUGCACGAAAGCGUGGGGAGCAAACAGGAUUAGAUACCCUUGUAGUC
RNAcentral lists this ribosomal RNA (450 nucleotides) under uncultured bacterium. Its description in RNAcentral is "partial 16S ribosomal RNA". It matches the Rfam family "Bacterial small subunit ribosomal RNA", at positions 338 to 795 of the family's 1533-position model. The record is from RNAcentral.